RNAcentral lists this transfer RNA (85 nucleotides) under Felis catus (domestic cat). It matches the Rfam family "tRNA". From Rfam's summary of the family: Transfer RNA (tRNA) molecules are approximately 80 nucleotides in length. Their secondary structure includes four short double-helical elements and three loops (D, anti-codon, and T loops). The record is from Rfam by way of RNAcentral. Lineage: Eukaryota; Metazoa; Chordata; Mammalia; Carnivora; Felidae.
GCCUGGGUGGCUCAGUCGGUUGAGCGUCUGACUUCGGCUCAGGUCACGAUCUCACGGUUUGUGAGUUCGAGCCCCGCGUCGGGCU